Molecule: ribosomal RNA, 478 nt
Filed under: uncultured bacterium
Lineage: Bacteria
Description: partial 16S ribosomal RNA
Rfam family: Bacterial small subunit ribosomal RNA
Source: RNAcentral
GACGAGCGCUGGCGGCGUGCUUAACACAUGCAAGUCGAACGGUAAGGCCCUUCGGGGUACACGAGUGGCGAACGGGUGAGUAACACGUGGGUGAUCUGCCCUGCACUUCGGGAUAAGCCUGGGAAACUGGGUCUAAUACCGGAUAGGACUCCUGGCUUCAUGGUUGGGGGUGGAAAGCUUUUGCGGUGUGGGAUGGGCCCGCGGCCUAUCAGCUUGUUGGUGGGGUAAUGGCCUACCAAGGCGACGACGGGUAGCCGGCCUGAGAGGGUGACCGGUCACACUGGGACUGAGAUACGGCCCAGACUCCUACGGGAGGCAUCAGUGGGGAAUAUUGCACAAUGGGCGCAAGCCUGAUGCAGCGACGCCGCGUGAGGGAUGACGGCCUUCAGGUUGUAAACCUCUUUCAGCUAUGACGAAGCGCAAGUGACGGUAGUAGCAGAAGAAGGACCGGCCAACUACGUGCCAGCCGCCGCCGUAA